GGGAGGUAUGUGGACAACCAUGUGUACAUUGAGACACACAAGCAUAUACACACACAUCAGAAUCAGAAUCAGGUUUAUGACACACACAAGGAUUUUGGUUCCAGCUGUUGGUGACUCUCAAAAGCACAGACAUAAAUAAUACUAUACAUUUAGCUUGGACUAUACAAGACAAAAACAAACAAGACAGGAUAAAACAGACUAUUUGAGAAAAUACAGACACUGUGAGACCUGUGUGUGGUUUUACAGCACAACCUCUUUGUCACUGUUUUCUCCUCCCUUUCUCAAAAUGUUACAGCAUCGUGUCAGUAUUUCUCCUUUUUUGAAUUCAAAUAUAAAGUCAGCUUUGUAUUUUCUUGGACCAGGGAUGCCUGAGUUCUCCAUGUAUUUAUAACGUUUAAGAGGUCCUGUGAAGUGCAAUCAUAUUUUUGCUUUGUGCUCAGUUUGGUUUGUCUUUGUGUUCCACAUCAUGUACUGCUUAAAGAACUGGUAUUCUGACAGUAUGACCCUGAACACCAAACCUGAACGCCUGUCCAUCUUCCUCAUCGCCGGUGUGUGUGCAGGUUUUCCAGCUCUUAUUUGGGCUCUCAGUGUACUGUACCACCAUUAUAAAAGCGGAGGUCGAACCUCAGUCUUCGCCGUCUUCCUCCUCCUCAGUGACCUGCUGGAGCUGAUCCUGACUCCAUUCCUUGUAACAUACAUUUUCAAAGAGGACUUUAAUCCAUGUGGAAUCAUUUUUGGACUAUUGUUUGUAACCAGGCUACUUGGGCAUCUGCUUCACCAGACAGUGGCGUUAGAGAGCAUUUGCCAAAGAUAUAGAUUACUUGCUGAUGUUUUCUCUCCUCCCUGCUCUAUCAUCUUCUGCAUCAUUUUUCUUCUAGCAGUUGGCUGUCAUUACAUUACAUAUGUGAUAACUACAAUUGUAUGCAUAUUGCCUGUGAUUGUGUGUGCAGUCACAUACAUAUUAACUUGGAAAGUACUUCAUGACUGUGACCAGGCCACAGACAGAAAGCCUGGUGUGCUGGUUGUAACUGUUGCCAUGUUUACAUUGAUCCUUAUAUACAUACCAUUUUUCUUGACUGUUUUUACUGACUUUCCUUUUAUGUUGGACUGUUUAACAAGCGUGAGAUUAAUCUCUGAUCCCUUCCUGUGUGUACUUGUCUGCAAGGAGGUCAGUUUCAAUUCACACACAGAUCGUAUGCAAGGAUCAUGUGCAUUAAAUUAGCAGCUUUGAAUUAGCAGGACAAACAAUAGGUUGUGUUUUGUGAUGUUAUUGCAGUGUGUAUAUUAUCAGUUUUGCAGAAAUGGAGGUCAACGUACAGAAAUUAUUUACACCAGUCUACAGGCAUUCUUACAAUCCAUUCUAAAGGAACAAAUUGCAUUUGCAAAAAUAUUAGUGUAGUCUCUAUUUCCUUUUUUUUUCUUUCCAGGCAGACCUGUUUUUUUUUCUUUCUUUUUUUUACUUUUUAUUUAUUUUUUUUACAUCAUUUAUGCAUGGGCUUGUGUGAAUGUGUGUAUUGUUAGAACCAGAACUUCUAAGGUUUUAUUUGAAAUAAAAUGUUUAUUUUCAGGCACCUUUAAUUGUACUGAAGGGAAAACUUAUAUCACACAAACACAUUCUAUGUCUUUGUGUAUUCACUGUCAUGAUAAGGACGAUGGGGCAGAUGCAUCCAUCCAGCAGAUGUUAGUGCAUAGUGUAAGAAAACUACUGAAAGGAGACAAAGAAACUGUGGCUGAAACAGUUAUAAAUAUGGAUUUAUACAAACAUCCAUAUUUGUCCAAAUAUGGAUGUUUGGCCAUAUAGAGAUGUAAUUCAGAGGCGAUAGAUUGUGUGUGUGUGUGUGUGUGUGUGUGUGUGUGUGUGUGUGUGUGUGUGUGUGUGAGUGUGUGUUUGUGUGUGAUUGUGCCCUGUGACAAGUUGGCACCCUAUCCAGAAUGUCCCCUGCCUCGUCCCCGGAGUCUCCUAAGACUGGCACCAGGUUCCCCGAAAGCAGAAAGAGCAACAUUCAACAUAAAAAAUAAAAAAAAAUCAUAAUGUUCUGCUUGAAGCUUAACAUGAUGCCCAUAAUGUAUUG
This is a long non-coding RNA of Tachysurus fulvidraco (yellow catfish), 2072 nucleotides long. RefSeq lists it as uncharacterized. Lineage: Eukaryota; Metazoa; Chordata; Actinopteri; Siluriformes; Bagridae. The record is from RefSeq and is a predicted model, not a curated record. The transcript has 3 exons.